RNAcentral lists this ribosomal RNA (433 nucleotides) under uncultured bacterium. RNAcentral's name for it is "partial 16S ribosomal RNA". It matches the Rfam family "Bacterial small subunit ribosomal RNA", at positions 29 to 507 of the family's 1533-position model. The record is from RNAcentral.
AGCGAACGCUGGCGGCAGGCCUAAUACAUGCAAGUCGAACGAACUCUUCGGAGUUUGUGGCGGACGGGUGUGUAACACGUGGGAACGUGACCUUUGGUAUGGCCUAACUCAGGGAAACUUGUGCUAUUACCGUAUGUGCCCUUCGGGGGAAAGAUUUAUCGCAAUUAGAGCGUCACGCGUCUGAUUAGCUGGUUCGUGAGGUAAAGGGUCACCAAGGCUACGAUCAGUAGCUGGUCUGAGAGAAUGAUCAGCCACAUUGAGACUGAGACACGGCCCAAACUCCUACGCGAGGCAGCAGAGGCUAAUCUUGCACAAUCGGCGGAAUCAUGACGCUGCCAUGCCGCGUGAAUGAUGAAAUUCGUAGGAUUGUAAAAUUCAUUCACCUAGGACGAUAAUGACGGUACCCGGAGAAGAAGCCACGGCUAACUUCGUG